UACAGAGGUCUCAAGCGUUGUUCGGAUUCAUUGGGCGUAAAGGGUGCGUAGGCGGCGCGGUAAGUCGGGUGUGAAAUCUCGGAGCUUAACUCCGAAACUGCAUUCGAUACUGCCGUGCUUGAGGACUGGAGAGGAGACUGGAAUUUACGGUGUAGCGGUGAAAUGCGUAGAUAUCAGGAGGAACACCGGUGGUGUAAACGGCUUUCUGGACCGUAACUGACGCUGAUGCACGAAAGCGUGGGUAGCAAACAGG
This 253-nucleotide ribosomal RNA is filed under the name uncultured bacterium. RNAcentral's name for it is "partial 16S ribosomal RNA". It matches the Rfam family "Bacterial small subunit ribosomal RNA", at positions 524 to 776 of the family's 1533-position model. The record is from RNAcentral.